RNAcentral lists this ribosomal RNA (2478 nucleotides) under human gut metagenome. Its description in RNAcentral is "bacterial LSU rRNA". The stretch from base 1614 to 2467 matches the Rfam family "Bacterial large subunit ribosomal RNA", at positions 2046 to 2912 of the family's 2925-position model. The record is from RNAcentral.
GUCUUUCCAUCCUCAUUCUGCUUCAUAUAGAAUGCUUUGAUUUCUUUCGGAUAGUCUGUCAGGAUUACAGGACUGGGUGUUCCGCAUUACAUUCACACGAGUCCAAUGCCAACCUUCUCCAUACUUCACCCUUAAUUCCCGCCGAAUACUAUCACACUGUCCUUUUUUUACCUGUUCAAAGAAAUUAAACAUAACCUUCCGGUCUUCAGGAUGGAUCUGGCUAUAAACACCUAUGACUUCCGAUAGCGGCACACCUUCUUUUUCUCCUAAAUUCUGAUACCAUUGGUCGAUAGCAUACCCUUCACGAGUCAACAAAUCAAAUUUGGCAUAUCCAACUUUUGCAAAACGGCUGACCAGGCUGAAGAAAUGUUCAAACUCCUCGAUACGGUUAUAUGCGACCGCCUUAUCUGUAUUAUCAAGAUUAAUAAACAUAUAAUUAAUCAGAUCUCCAUAUAUGUCAUACAACAUGCAGACUUUUGUGAAAAUAUCGAUCGUACCAUUCUUCAUUGUCGGAUAGAACCCUUUGUCCUCAAUUGUGUUAAAUGAAUAAUCCAUGUGAAAAGAGACUGGCUCCCGACUAAUCAGUUUUUCUCGUAUUUCAUCAUUAAUCAUAGGAUUUUCAAAGAUAUUAAGCCCCAAAACAGACUCUUUGGAAGGAAGGCCGAAUAUCUCGACAUCCAUAUUAUUCAAAUCCACCAGAUAGCCCUUCUUAUCAUACAACUCUAUUCCGACCGGUAUGUUGGUAUAAAUAUUCCGAAGUAACUUUUCACUAUGGUCCAAAGCUUCAUUGGUACGGGCCAUCUUCGUUAUUAUACUAAUGAUAUUGGAAAUAGACGACAACCAUUGAUAGUCCUCCAAGCUCCACAUACGAUACUUAUCUACUAUAUCGAUUCCCAUAUACCCCCAAGACUCACCUUUGAUUAUUAAUGGAAUUAAAAUCAGAGAACAGGUUCGACGCGCUUUCAGGUAGCGCUUCUCCUCAACCGCUUCAGGAGGUAAUUCAUCCAGAUUAUUAAUUAGGAUAGGAUAUAAAUUCCGUAUUUUAUGUGUAGACCAAGGUAACGUAGCAACCGGAAUGUUUUGCAAAAACGGACGGACAGGCUCAACUCCCUCACUACACACCUCAUAUGUGCAGCCAAUCUGCUUCUCAUCCUCAUAUUCCAUAAUGUAUACACGCCCCUUCGUAUCGAUCGAAAAUAGAACCUCCGUAAGAGCCAAAUGGAUCGAUUUAUGCAAAUCAUUUGUCUGGAUAAAAGAAUGUAAGGCAUGGGACAAACUCCCCAAAUGCCUGAGAACACUAUCAACCUGUCCAUUCACGACAGGUCUAUUCUCCUCCAUUUCACUAAAAGGAAUCAACUGUAAAAUACCCAAUACGGUCAACUUGCCAUCGGAAGCCUUUUCACGUUUAUAAAUUUUUGUACGGACGAACCUAUAACCAUAGCAAGUCUUUAUAGGGAAGAUCUGUUCGUAUAUACCAAUACCUUUAAAGAAAGCAAAUUCGUUAGCGAUACGAUCCCGAUAGUCUCCACGGAUCAACAAAAAGAAAUCUACUAUGGAUAUUUUCGGACCAUCCAACUCCAAGAGACUAAUCAAAUAGUCAGAACAGAUAUAACAUCUUUCUUCAAAAUCAGCUUUCCACCAGCCAACCUGAGCAUUGUCUAAUAUUAAUUGAUACUGGGAUUCGGUAUUGCAUGUACAGGAUAGGUGGGAGGCUAGGAAAUGGUAACGCCAGUUGCCAUGGAGCCAAUGUUGGGAUACCACCCUUGCAGUACUGGGUUUCUAACCAGCAGCCGUGAUCCGGCUGGGGGACAAUGUCAGGUGGGGAGUUUGACUGGGGCGGUCGCCUCCGAAAGGGUAUCGGAGGCGCUCAAAGGUUCCCUCAGAAUGGUUGGAAACCAUUCGAAGAGUGCAAAGGCAGAAGGGAGCUUGACUGCGACACCGACGGGUGGAGCAGGUACGAAAGUAGGACUUAGUGAUCCGGUGGUAUAAAGUGGGAUUGCCAUCGCUCAACGGAUAAAAGCUACCCUGGGGAUAACAGGCUUAUCACUCCCAAGAGUUCACAUCGACGGAGUGGUUUGGCACCUCGAUGUCGGCUCAUCGCAUCCUGGGGCUGUAGCAGGUCCCAAGGGUUGGGCUGUUCGCCCAUUAAAGCGGUACGCGAGCUGGGUUCAGAACGUCGUGAGACAGUUCGGUCCCUAUCCGGCGCGGGCGGAGGAUAUUUGAGAGGAGCUGUCCUUAGUACGAGAGGACCGGGAUGGACGGACCACUGGUGUAUCUGUUGUCGACCAACGGCAUGGCAGAGUAGCCAAGUCUGGAAGGGAUAAACGCUGAAGGCAUCUAAGCGUGAAGCCCCCCUCAAGAUGAGAUAUCCCUCCUUCGGGAGUAAGACCCCUUGAAGACUACAAGGUAGAUAGGGCAGAGGUGGAAGCAUGGCAACAUGUGGAGCUGACUGUUACUAAUAGGUCGAGGGCUUAAUCU